This 442-nucleotide ribosomal RNA is filed under the name uncultured bacterium. RNAcentral describes it as "bacterial SSU rRNA". It matches the Rfam family "Bacterial small subunit ribosomal RNA", at positions 338 to 795 of the family's 1533-position model. The record is from RNAcentral.
CCUACGGGUGGCAGCAGUGGGGAAUCUUGCGCAAUGGGCGAAAGCCUGACGCAGCAACGCCGCGUGCGGGAUGAAGGCCUUCGGGUUGUAAACCGCUUUCAGUGGGGACGAAUUCAGACGGUACCCACAGAGGAAGCCCCGGCCAACUACGUGCCAGCAGCCGCGGUAACACGUAGGGGGCAAGCGUUGUCCGGAAUCAUUGGGCGUAAAGAGCUCGUAGGCGGCUCAGUAAGUCGGGUGUGAAACCCCCAGGCUCAACCUGGGGACGCCACCCGAUACUGCUGUGGCUAGAGUCCAGUAGGGGAGUGUGGAAUUCCCGGUGUAGCGGUGAAAUGCGCAGAUAUCGGGAGGAACACCAGCGGCGAAGGCGGCACUCUGGGCUGGAACUGACGCUGAGGAGCGAAAGCGUGGGUAGCAAACAGGAUUAGAUACCCGAGUAGUC